This 469-nucleotide ribosomal RNA is filed under the name uncultured bacterium. RNAcentral's name for it is "bacterial SSU rRNA". It matches the Rfam family "Bacterial small subunit ribosomal RNA", at positions 56 to 521 of the family's 1533-position model. The record is from RNAcentral.
UGCAGUCGAGCGGCAACGCGGGAGCGAUCCUGGCGGCGAGCGGCGAACGGGUGAGUAAUGCUUCGGACUCUGCCCUUCAGUGGGGAAUAACCAGUCGAAAGACUGGCUAAUACCGCAAACGAACUGAGGUUGAAAGCAGGGGAUCGCAAGACCUUGCGCUGAUGGAUGAGCCGAAGUCGGAUUAGCUAGUUGGUAGGGUAACGGCCUACCAAGGCGACUAUCCGUAGCUGGUCUGAAAAGACGACCAGCCCCCCUGGGACUGACACCCGGCCCAAACCCCUACGGGAGGCAGCAGUGGGGAAUAUUGGACAAUGGGGGCAACCCUGAUCCAGCGACGCCGCGUGUGUGAAGAAGGCCUGCGGGUUGUAAAGCACUUUUAGUGGGGAGGAAGGUCUGCGACCUAACCCGUCGUGGAAUUGACUUAACCCACAGAAAAAGCACCGGCUAACUCUGUGCCAGCAGCCGCGGU